Molecule: long non-coding RNA, 672 nt
Filed under: Phaseolus vulgaris (common bean)
Lineage: Eukaryota; Viridiplantae; Streptophyta; Magnoliopsida; Fabales; Fabaceae
Description: long non-coding RNA (PVUL_LNC003038)
Source: RNAcentral
CAUGCAAAGCGUUUCUACUAAAGCAAUAGAAUAGCAAAUUCAAACAAGUAACAAUUACUAAACAAGAAUGCUAUACUAUUCGGCCCUAGGUGAGGCUUCUUGGACACUUGGAGCCCUUGAAGACACACUCACCGUCUAAAACGUAAUUAAAAGGGUAAUUAACAAUAAACCAAGUUGCAAAGGAAUUAAGAAAACUCCCUUUGUUGAUCCUCUUUUUGGUUAGUGCACUUCCUUGUUGUCUAUGCUUGUUUGAUCCUCCAAGUGUUUGUAGUGUUUUCUUUUUCAAGAAUGCUUGUUUCGGCUUUGGCUUUGUCUUCUCCUUAGAAUGAUGGUCUUAAUUCUCCAAUUUCCAGCACCUAUCAAAGGGCUAAACCUUAACCAAGUCAAGUUUCAAUCCACAUAAGCACUAAAGAAGAGAAGAAAUUCCAGCACCCAAAUUAGAGGUCAAAGAACAAAAGCAAGAAACAAUUAAAUUGAAUAAAACAGUACCACCAAAAGGAUUUAGAUUAUGACAACUAGAAAGAGAGUCAAGAAAUUAAAGCAACAAAUAAAAGGUACUCAAUUAAAGGUUGGCACACAAAAGAAUUCCUAAAGAAAAGCACUAGAUUAGAUGACCAAAUAAAAAAAAACAGCACCACUGGAAAAUGUUGUGGGCCAGAAAACGUGUUUGUU